Molecule: ribosomal RNA, 253 nt
Filed under: uncultured bacterium
Lineage: Bacteria
Description: partial 16S ribosomal RNA
Rfam family: Bacterial small subunit ribosomal RNA
Source: RNAcentral
UACAGAGGUCUCGAGCGUUAGGCGGAAUCACUGGGCUUAAAGCGUGUGUAGGCGGAUCGUUAAGUACCUUGUGAAAUCCCACGGCUCAACCGUGGAACUGCUUGGCAUACUGGCGGUCUUGAGCAACCUAGGGGCGAGCGGAACAAAUGGUGGAGCGGUGAAAUGCGUAGAUAUCAUUUGGAACGCCAAUGGUGAAAACAGCUCGCUGGGGGUUUGCUGACGCUGAGACACGAAAGCCAGGGGAGCAAACGGG